GGAAAGAUGUCCGAGCUGGCCGAAGGAGCACGAUUGGAAGUCGUGUGUGCUUAACCGCACCGUGGGUUCGAAUCCCACUCUUUCCGUAU
This 89-nucleotide transfer RNA is filed under the name Brachyspira hyodysenteriae WA1. Its description in RNAcentral is "tRNA-Ser". It matches the Rfam family "tRNA". Rfam says of the family: Transfer RNA (tRNA) molecules are approximately 80 nucleotides in length. Their secondary structure includes four short double-helical elements and three loops (D, anti-codon, and T loops). Further hydrogen bonds mediate the characteristic L-shaped molecular structure. tRNAs have two regions of fundamental functional importance: the anti-codon, which is responsible for specific mRNA codon recognition, and the 3' end, to which the tRNAs corresponding amino acid is attached (by aminoacyl-tRNA synthetases). tRNAs cope with the degeneracy of the genetic code in two manners: having more than one tRNA (with a specific anti-codon) for a particular amino acid; and 'wobble' base-pairing, i.e. permitting non-standard base-pairing at the 3rd anti-codon position. Lineage: Bacteria; Pseudomonadati; Spirochaetota; Spirochaetia; Brachyspirales; Brachyspiraceae. The record is from RNAcentral.